This 430-nucleotide ribosomal RNA is filed under the name Pseudomonadota bacterium. RNAcentral describes it as "Proteobacteria bacterium partial 16S ribosomal RNA". It matches the Rfam family "Bacterial small subunit ribosomal RNA", at positions 355 to 776 of the family's 1533-position model. The record is from RNAcentral. Lineage: Bacteria; Pseudomonadati; Pseudomonadota.
UGGGGAAUAUUGGACAAUGGGCGAAAGCCUGAUCCAGCCAUGCCGCGUGUGUGAAGAAGGCCUUAUGGUUGUAAAGCACUUUAAGCGAGGAGGAGGGUACUGGUAUUAAUACUACCAGGUACUGGACGUUACUCGCAGAAUAAGCACCGGCUAACUCUGUGCCAGCAGCCGCGGUAAUACAGAGGGUGCGAGCGUUAAUCGGAUUUACUGGGCGUAAAGCGUUCGUAGGCGGCUAAUUGAGUCGGAUGUGAAAUCCCCGAGCUUAACUUGGGAAUUGCAUUCGAUACUGGUUAGCUAGAGUGUGGGAGAGGAUGGUAGAAUUCCAGGUGUAGCGGUGAAAUGCGUAGAGAUCUGGAGGAAUACCGAUGGCGAAGGCAGCCAUCUGGCCUAACACUGACGCUGAGGUACGAAAGCAUGGGGAGCAAACAGG